AUGAAAUUUUGAUUGGGCGAUAAGUGUGGGGACUGCUGCAUUUGUGUCUCCCAUUGUUUUGUCACCAUAUAUCUGGGUUAAAUCCUGCCAAGUUGGCCUACGCCUUGGCCAAAACCCGGAGCUUCAAGGACCGCACUUGUGCAUGGGGUAUGUGCAGCCAGAUGGAGAGGAAAAUGUGUGCAAAUAUCCCUGGAAAAUAAGCCAUUAAACGAGGCCAGAAAGUGGGCAUUGAGUGUUUGCCCAUCAUAAAUUGGGCAAAAAUUGCCUGCAAGCUGCACUGCAAAAAAAGAUCGCAAAGCUAUGUCAAAAUAUUAAAAUGGCAAACAGUUCCUAAAGAUAUGGUAACAUACGGUUUUGACUUUAAUUCUACUGUACAAUUCUAAAUAAAAGCAUGAUAUGCAAGUACCAUCUGAAACAG
RNAcentral lists this long non-coding RNA (418 nucleotides) under Drosophila melanogaster (fruit fly). RNAcentral's name for it is "long non-coding RNA:CR43881 (Dmel_CR43881)". The record is from RNAcentral. Lineage: Eukaryota; Metazoa; Arthropoda; Insecta; Diptera; Drosophilidae.